Molecule: long non-coding RNA, 905 nt
Organism: Papaver somniferum (opium poppy)
Lineage: Eukaryota; Viridiplantae; Streptophyta; Magnoliopsida; Ranunculales; Papaveraceae
Exons: 4
Source: RefSeq, a predicted model, not a curated record
CCCCACCCACUGAUUCAGAAGCCUGAACUCAAAUUUCUCAGGUUCUCAACCUUGGGUUUUGGUAGAAAAAUCCUAAAUUUGGGUUUUGGUUGAGAUUUAAAGUAAAACCCUACCCACUGAUUUCGAAGUCAGAUUUCUCUCCCAGAACUCAAAUAUCUCGACCUAAUCAAGAGUUAGAAAAGCAAAUCAAACCCCAAACUCUAGUUUUUAGUCGUAGGAAUUUCUAUCACGUCUCUGAUUUUUCAAAAAGAAGAAUUCUGCAGAAUGGAAAGAUGAGGAGGAGAUGAUGGCACUGUUCCUGAUAAUGAAGUACAAAUCCACUUGCUAAAUUUCUCUGCUUCUUGCAAAGGAUGCUUCACUUCUGCUUGCACUGGCAGCACUGCAAUUGAGAUGUCAUGGAGUUCUCCCUGAUGACGAUCCUAUCAAACCAGACCUUUGGAGUGGAUUGGAUCGGUGUCAGUGGAUAAUGGAGUCAAUCAAGGGUAGAGUUAAAUGACGACUUGCUAAGAUCCCACAAGGCACCUGAAUUUUGCAUUUUAUCUGUGGAUGUGCUACAUUCUAGUUGUCAUCUAUUCCACAGUAGUGUCAACUUGCCAAGAUCUCCUAAGUUACAUACUCCAGUUUCAGCACUUCUAUUUGGCAUAGAAUGGAAGGAGGAGGAGAUAAUGGCAACAUUCCUGCUGCUUCAGUUCUGCUUGCACUGCAAUUGGGAUGUCAUGGUGUUCACCCUGCUGACCUUGUAAGUUAAUUUCAAACCUCGGCGCUCUGUUGAGUAAAUGUUUGUCUGUUACCUGGUGACAUCACAAUAAUAAUCAGUAUAUUGGAGGAAUAGUUACCCGAUUUAGUAACUGGUUCGUUGUUGUUAGAGAAAUUGUUAAGUGGGUAAGUUAAAUUACUUACGUAUC